GAUCUUUAUAUAUUAAAUAAUUAUACAAUAUUAGUUUAAUUUUUUUUUAAAAUUAUUAAUAUAUUAUAUUGGGGUAAUAAUAAAAUUUUAAAAAUUUUUAUUUUUUAAUAACGAUUAUGAUUGAUUUGUUGAUCCAGUAUUAUUGAUUAUAAAGUUAAGUUACCUUAGGGAUAACAGCGUAAUGAUUUUUGAGAGUUCUUAUCAA
Molecule: ribosomal RNA, 205 nt
Filed under: Psychodopygus hirsutus
Lineage: Eukaryota; Metazoa; Arthropoda; Insecta; Diptera; Psychodidae
Description: partial large subunit ribosomal RNA
Source: RNAcentral